GCAGGUUUACCCGAGUGGUUAUGGGGGAAAACUUAAGAUCUUUAGUACAGAAGUACGUGUGGCUUCGAACCCCACAGGCUGCA
Turnera subulata is the source of this 83-nucleotide non-coding RNA. The record is from the annotation of a GenBank genome assembly. Lineage: Eukaryota; Viridiplantae; Streptophyta; Magnoliopsida; Malpighiales; Passifloraceae.